This 108-nucleotide ribosomal RNA is filed under the name uncultured fungus. RNAcentral's name for it is "5.8S ribosomal RNA". It matches the Rfam family "5.8S ribosomal RNA", at positions 1 to 108 of the family's 154-position model. From Rfam's summary of the family: 5.8S ribosomal RNA (5.8S rRNA) is a component of the large subunit of the eukaryotic ribosome. It is transcribed by RNA polymerase I as part of the 45S precursor that also contains 18S and 28S rRNA. Functionally, it is thought that 5.8S rRNA may be involved in ribosome translocation. Lineage: Eukaryota; Fungi. The record is from RNAcentral.
AACUUUCAACAACGGAUCUCUUGGUUCUCCCAUCGAUGAAGAACGCAGCGAAAUGCGAUAAGUAGUGUGAAUUGCAGAAUUCAGUGAAUCAUCGAAUCUUUGAACGCA